UACGUAGGGUGCGAGCGUUGUCCGGAAUUAUUGGGCGUAAAGGGCUCGUAGGCGGUUUGUCGCGUCGGGAGUGAAAACACUGGGCUUAACUCAGUGCUUGCUUCCGAUACGGGCAGACUAGAGGUAUGCAGGGGAGAACGGAAUUCCUGGUGUAGCGGUGAAAUGCGCAGAUAUCAGGAAGAACACCCGUGGCGAAGGCGGCUCUCUGGGACGUGACUGACGCUGAGACGCGAAAGCGUGGGGAGCGAACAGG
This 253-nucleotide ribosomal RNA is filed under the name uncultured bacterium. RNAcentral describes it as "partial 16S ribosomal RNA". It matches the Rfam family "Bacterial small subunit ribosomal RNA", at positions 524 to 776 of the family's 1533-position model. The record is from RNAcentral.